RNAcentral lists this ribosomal RNA (706 nucleotides) under Raveniella luteola. Its description in RNAcentral is "SSU rRNA". It matches the Rfam family "Eukaryotic small subunit ribosomal RNA", at positions 417 to 1124 of the family's 1831-position model. The record is from RNAcentral. Lineage: Eukaryota; Metazoa; Arthropoda; Arachnida; Araneae; Micropholcommatidae.
CAAGGAAGGCAGCAGGCGCGCAAAUUACCCACUCCCGGCACGGGGAGGUAGUGACGAAAAAUAACGAUACGGGACUCUUUUGAGACCCCGUAAUCGGAAUGAGAACGGUCCAAAACCUCUAACGAGGACCCAUUGGAGGGCAAGCCUGGUGCCAGCAGCCGCGGUAACUCCAGCUCCAAUAGCGUAUAUUAAAGUUGUUGCGGUUAAAAAGCUCGUAGUUGGAUCUCAGUUCCGGUCGGGGGAUCCGUCUUCCGACGGCCGUCUCCCGGACCGAACAGCCGGCCGGUCUCCCUCGAUGAUCUUCGUCGGUUGUCUCGGGUUGACCGGCGAGUUUACUUUGAAAAAAUUAGAGUGCUCAAAGCAGGCUCCAGAAGCCUGGAUAAUGGUGCAUGGAAUAAUGGAAUAGGACCUCGGUUCUAUUUUGUUGGUUUUAGGAUCACGAGGUAAUGAUUAAGAGGGACGGACGGGGGCAUUCGUAUUGCGGCGCUAGAGGUGAAAUUCUUGGACCGCCGCAAGACGAACGACAGCGAAAGCAUUUGCCAAGAAUGUUUCCAUUAAUCAAGAACGAAAGUCAGAGGCUCGAAGGCGAUCAGAUACCGCCCUAGUUCUGACCAUAAACGAUGCCAGCCAGCGAUCCGGCUGCGUUCCUCAAAUGACGCGCCGGGCAGCUUCCGGGAAACCAAAGCUUUUGGGUUCCGGGGGAAGU